This 253-nucleotide ribosomal RNA is filed under the name uncultured bacterium. Its description in RNAcentral is "partial 16S ribosomal RNA". It matches the Rfam family "Bacterial small subunit ribosomal RNA", at positions 524 to 776 of the family's 1533-position model. The record is from RNAcentral.
UACGUAGGCAGCAAGCGUUGUUCGGAGUUACUGGGCGUAAAGGGUGUGUAGGCGGUUGUUUAAGUUUGGUGUGAAAUCUCCCGGCUCAACCGGGAGGGUGCGCCGAAUACUGAAUGACUAGAGUGCGGGAGAGGAAAGUGGAAUUCCUGGUGUAGCGGUGAAAUGCGUAGAUAUCAGGAGGAACACCGGUGGUGUAGACGGCUUUCUGGACCGUAACUGACGCUGAGGCGCGAAAGCGUGGGGAGCAAACAGG